Molecule: long non-coding RNA, 3369 nt
Organism: Oncorhynchus tshawytscha (Chinook salmon)
Lineage: Eukaryota; Metazoa; Chordata; Actinopteri; Salmoniformes; Salmonidae
Source: Ensembl
CACAUUACUAUUAAAACUAACUACACAUUUCACACAUUAACACUCUAUAUAGUAUUAUCACUCUAGUAUUAACACUACAGAUAUGUAAACAUAGAAUGUAUGGUUUUAAAUGUAUAUAUCACAAAUGGUUUACCAGUAAGUUUAAACCUAUACUGUGUUCAUUGUGCAAUUAGAGAGACAUCCAGAAUCCAAACAACAGACUACUAAUGUGUAUGUCUGAGGACGAUAUGAUUUGAUUAUUUAAAGUGAAAGACUCAGUCCUUGCAGGUGUCUGGAUUAACCUGUGGCUGGGACAGACAGGUGCUGAGUGAUGAUGCUUAGGACAAAAUGCACAUCUCUGAGCAGGUUGAAGUUCCUUUUGUGUGUGUGUUUGUGUGCAUGUAUGUGCUUGCGUGCAACAUACACGUUUUUGAAUCUGUGUUUUGUUUAUGAUACGUUGUAAUCUGAUUCCUUGCAAAAUAACGACUUGAUGUAAACUAAUCACACAAUUGUGAUCAAUUCAUAAAUGCGCACAGCUCUGUUUAUGGGUGUGUGUGUGUGUUGUUGUGUGUGUGUGUGUGUGUGUGUGUGUGUGUGUGUGUGUGUGUGUGUGUGUGUUUAUGUAAAUAAUGCAACAUAUGAUAUGUUAGGAAGAACAAAGGACUGAGAGUGCUGGCUGAAACAUGUAGAUGAUGUUCUACCAGGUCGGACACAGCCUUCUGCAGGAGGACAACCACGAAAAUAAUAAGGAAAGGCCUCUAUUUUACCGAAACAAGUCAGUGGGCCCAGAUAUUGUUCCACAAGGAUGAAUGACUCUUCAGGAAACCACACUGACCUUGAAAAAUGGGAUGUUUGCAUAGACCAGGGCUACGUUGUGCCAAAGCUGUCCGGUGCUGUCCAGGCCCUGUGCUCCUUACUCGGGAUACCAGCUCUGGUCUGGUGUCUCUGGCUCUCUCUGAGUGGAAGUCUCUCUGGAGGUCUCAAACCCACCCAGGUCUUCCCUAUUAACCUGUUUGCAGUGGAACUGGUGUUCUGUGUCCAUGGUCUCCUUGAGGUGAUCAGCUACCUAUUCAUCCCGAAGGCUAUAAUGUUACGUCAGACUGUGUAUGUCCUGUAUUACAUCUCCUGGAUCUGCAGGCCCCUGAUCCAGAGCUGCAUCUGUGUGGAGAGAUACCUGGCGGUGGCACAACCUGUGUCUUUCCUCAAGUACAGACUCCGGAGGUACAGGGUGGCGUGUUCAACCAUGGUCUGGCUGCUGUCGCUCGCUUUUGCAUGUUCUAUCAUCUCUUUAUUUGGUUAUGAAGAAACCUCAGGUUAUGUGAUCGGUAGUGUCUAUUGCCUUGGAGUGGCUGUCAUUUCUCUCUGCUGCUUCUUCAUCCUGCGUGUGCUGAAGCAGCCUGGUCCAGGAGAGGUAGAGGGGGGCAGAGAGGGAGAGAAGAAUCAGGGGACAACAGACCCACAUAAGAAGAGAGCUUUUGGGAUCAUCUUAACCAACCUUGUGGUUAUCUUGGCGAGCUCCAUCCCAGUUGUCGUUGGUUACGCCACCCUGUCAUAUAGUCUUGACUACAACUGCAAUGUCAUCCCCAUGUUGCAGAUUGUCAACGUCUUCAGUGUCCUGGUCUCACCCCUGAUGCACCUCUACAGAGAGGGACGGCUGUCAUGCCGUAGAGGGCCAGAGACACAUUAGACUUGCAGUUGCGGGCACUAAAAGCAUGUUUUAUUUUGACCAACUAAUGCUAGGACACGACAGAGCAUUGUGUUAAAUAUGCAUUGAAUUAUAACAUUUCUGUCAGUUCCGCUGCUCAGUCUAACAUCUUAGUUCCUGCAGCCGUUGGUGAAAAAGAAGUAGAUGCGGCGAAGACGUAGAAUCCAUGUCUCUUAUCUCUUAUUUGAUGAAGCUCUUCUUGUUUUAACAGCCCGUUAUCAUUAGAGUUGUUGUUAACUAAAGCUGCAUCACUUGUUUAUCUUUUAUAGUGAAUGUUGGUUUGUUUUAUGAAUUAUUAAUUUGUAUUAAUUAUUAAUGAUACAGUUAGUACGGGGUGGCUUGAUAGUGGAUUAGACCUAUUCAUUUAACAUCAGCAUUAAGUCAUGACUUGUGUUCUUCUUAAUGUUAUGUUCUACUUUCAACUGAGGGUCCUUGUCUCCCACUAAGAUGACAUAAUGAUAUUUAAAUGUACGGGGACUGACUGUGCAUGAGACUUGGCUGAUGGUGUUAUUGUGACUUAACAUUCUAACCCAGACAGUGUACACUCCUAGAAAUACAUUUGGGCUCCAUCUACUCUGGAGAUAAAAUAAAGUGUGGACCCCCCUGAUGUAAACAUUGGCUUUUUGAAUGGCUGAUGCAUUUCAUUUCAAUUUAAAUGUCUAUACAUUACUCAAAUACAGUCUAGUCUAGAUGAGUGUCAUCUUGUUAUGAGAACUUAGCAUACUGUAGAUGCCAAAUCAUAACGCCUGGACAGAAGUAUAGAUGUCCAUUCUUCCCCGAUAAGAACAAGUUGCAGAAGGUACAGUGAAAACUAAUGUCUUGAAAUGCCACAGUAACUUCAGACAAUAAUGUAAUAAUGACAUUGGCCAGUUCUAUUCAUUGACCUGUUUUCAUACUGAGGGUACUAAGAAGGUCCACGGGAUGGCAGGAAGGAGAGAAAGGUUGAAAAAGAGGAGGAAAGGAACCUGAGGAAGAGGAGAGCCUUCUGUAGCGUCCAGAUCAUCCUACAGACCUUGAUACCAUCCUACAAUCGUCGGGGAAAUCCUUCAGGAUCAUAUUUCUUUGAGAUCAUUCAGGUGUAUUCUGACUCCAAUUACUUUCUCGUUCAACAUGUUGGUUAGCUUUACUCAGCCCCUCCUCUACCUCCACAGGACUGGGAAACUGACCUGCCAUCUGGGGUUAAAGAGAAGGAUUACUGCACUGUAGGGGAAUGUUUGUCUUGCAUGUAUCAGGUUAUCAUUCUGUUCUAUUUCCUUUAAUCACAUUUUUCCUGCUAUCUAGAGGUUUUGACAUGUGUAAGAAGUGGUUAAUCAUUCAAAUAAACAGUGUGUGUAGAGAGAGCAGGGCAGAGCGGCUGAUUGGUGCGUCUGUGAAAUGUUGUAUUUGUCGUAUAGCUGUUAAUUCAUGUAAGUGGAAAUUAGGGAGCUACAUUGUGAGAAUUUACUAUCACCUCAUGCUCACAAUUCCAACCGAAUCCUAACUUUUUUGCUUGGUUUGACAAAUUGUAACCCCAAAAAUACAUACUACUAUUGUUACUGCUAUACUAUUGAGUGGUGUUCUCUAUUAAAUUGUAUUGCUGUUUGUUUCAUAAGAAGUGUGGAAUAAAGGAAAUCUGAUUGAUUCAACAGUUCAGGUCCCUGUCUGUCACAUACGAUUACAGCAUCUCAUCAAACAUGUAUCGCCCG